Molecule: ribosomal RNA, 434 nt
Filed under: uncultured Lachnospiraceae bacterium
Lineage: Bacteria; Bacillati; Bacillota; Clostridia; Lachnospirales; Lachnospiraceae
Description: partial 16S ribosomal RNA
Rfam family: Bacterial small subunit ribosomal RNA
Source: RNAcentral
ACGGGAGGCAGCAGUGGGGAAUAUUGCACAAUGGGGGAAACCCUGAUGCAGCGACGCCGCGUGAGUGAAGAAGUAUUUCGGUAUGUAAAGCUCUAUCAGCAGGGAAGAAAAUGACGGUACCUGACUAAGAAGCACCGGCUAAAUACGUGCCAGCAGCCGCGGUAAUACGUAUGGUGCAAGCGUUAUCCGGAUUUACUGGGUGUAAAGGGUGCGUAGGUGGUAUGGCAAGUCAGAAGUGAAAUGCGGGGGCUCAACCCCUGAACUGCUUUUGAAACUGUCAAACUAGAGUGCAGGAGAGGCAAGCGGAAUUCCUAGUGUAGCGGUGAAAUGCGUAGAUAUUAGGAGGAACACCAGUGGCGAAGGCGGCUUGCUGGACUGUAACUGACGUUGAGGCUCGAAAGCGUGGGGAGCAAACAGGAUUAGAUACCCUGGUA